RNAcentral lists this ribosomal RNA (250 nucleotides) under uncultured bacterium. RNAcentral describes it as "partial 16S ribosomal RNA". It matches the Rfam family "Bacterial small subunit ribosomal RNA", at positions 524 to 773 of the family's 1533-position model. The record is from RNAcentral.
UACAGGGGGUGCAAACGUUGCUCGGAAUCAUUGGGCGUAAAGCGCACGUAGGCGGUUCGUUAUGUCGGAUGUGAAAGCCCUUGGCUUAACCGAGGAAGUGCAUCCGAAACUGGCGAGCUAGAGUACGAAAGAGGAUCGCGGAAUUCCCGGUGUAGAGGUGAAAUUCGUAGAUAUCGGGAGGAACACCGGUGGCGAAGGCGGCGAUCUGGGUCGAUACUGACGCUGAGGUGCGAAAGCGUGGGGAGCAAAC